RNAcentral lists this ribosomal RNA (357 nucleotides) under uncultured bacterium. Its description in RNAcentral is "bacterial SSU rRNA". It matches the Rfam family "Bacterial small subunit ribosomal RNA", at positions 28 to 414 of the family's 1533-position model. The record is from RNAcentral.
AAUGAACGUUGGCGGCCUGGAUUAGGCAUGCAAGUUGAGCGAACCCGCAAGGGGAGCAGCGUAAGGGGCAGUAAGGCAUAGGUACCUACCCGCGGCUCGGGCAUAGCCUGUAGAGAUACAGGGUAAUUCCCGAUGACCUCGAGAGAGCAAAGCUCCGGCGGCCGCGGAGGGGCCUAUGUGAUAUUAGCUAGUUGGUGGGGUAACGGCCCACCAAGGCGAAGAUGUCUAGCGGGUGUGAGAGCACGACCCGCGCCACUGGCACUGAGACACUGGCCAGACACCUACGGGUGGCUGCAGUCGAGGAUCUUCGGCAAUGGGCGCAAGCCUGACCGAGCGAGGCCGCGUGGGCGAUGAAGG